RNAcentral lists this ribosomal RNA (520 nucleotides) under uncultured bacterium. Its description in RNAcentral is "bacterial SSU rRNA". It matches the Rfam family "Bacterial small subunit ribosomal RNA", at positions 355 to 896 of the family's 1533-position model. The record is from RNAcentral.
UUAGGAAUCUUCCACAAUGGGCGAAAGCCUGAUGGAGCGACACUGCGUGAGGGAUGACGGCCUUCGGGUUGUAAACCUCUAAAACGGGGACGAAUAAUGACGGUACCCGUUGAGAAGCACCGGCUAACUCCGUGCCAGCAGCCGCGGUAAUACGGAGGGUGCAAGCGUUAUCCGGAAUCACUGGGCGUAAAGGGCGCGUAGGCGGUCCUGUAAGUCCGAUGUUAAAGACCGGGGCUCAACCCCGACACGGCGUUGGAUACUGCUGGGCUUGACGGCUGGAGAGGCGAGUGGAAUUACCAGUGUAGCGGUGGAAUGCGUAGAUACUGGUAGGAACACCCAUUGCGAAGGCAGCUCGCUGGACAGCACGUGACGCUGAGGCGCGAAAGUGUGGGGAGCAAACCGGAUUAGAUACCCGGGUAGUCCACACCCUAAACGAUGCACACUUGGUGUUGGCCCGUUGGGGUCAGCGCCGGAGCUAACGCGUUAAGUGUGCCGCCUGGGAAGUACGGCCGCAAGGUUG